GAUGAACGCUAGCGACAGGCCUAACACAUGCAAGUCGAGGGGCAGCAUUAAAGUAGCUUGCUACUUUAGAUGGCGACCGGCGCACGGGUGAGUAACGCGUAUGCAACCUACCUAUUACAGGGGAAUAACCCGGAGAAAUUCGGACUAAUACCGCAUAAUACAAGAUCAUCGCAUGAUUUUUUGUAAAGAUUUAUUGGUAAUAGAUGGGCAUGCGUUCCAUUAGCCAGUUGGUGAGGUAACGGCUCACCAAAGCAACGAUGGAUAGGGGAACUGAGAGGUUUAUCCCCCANACUGGAACUGAGACACGGACCAGACUCCUACGGGAGGCAGCAGUGAGGAAUAUUGGUCAAUGGGGCAGAGCCUGAACCAGCCAAGUCGCGUGAAGGAAGACUGCCUUAUGGGUUGUAAACUUCUUUUAUAAAAGGAAUAAAAAGGUCUACGUGUAGACUAUUGCAUGUACUUUAUGAAUAAGCAUCGGCUAACUCCGUGCCAGCCGCCG
This 499-nucleotide ribosomal RNA is filed under the name uncultured Porphyromonadaceae bacterium. RNAcentral describes it as "bacterial SSU rRNA". It matches the Rfam family "Bacterial small subunit ribosomal RNA", at positions 28 to 517 of the family's 1533-position model. Lineage: Bacteria; Pseudomonadati; Bacteroidota; Bacteroidia; Bacteroidales; Porphyromonadaceae. The record is from RNAcentral.